This 390-nucleotide ribosomal RNA is filed under the name Triticum aestivum (bread wheat). RNAcentral's name for it is "partial small subunit ribosomal RNA". Lineage: Eukaryota; Viridiplantae; Streptophyta; Magnoliopsida; Poales; Poaceae. The record is from RNAcentral.
AUGCACUCCAUGCUUGCUAUGAAGGUGACGACAAAGGAGGCAUGGGAUGCCAUCAAGAUCAUGCGGGUCGGCGAUGCCCGCGUCCGUGAGGCCAAGGCGCAGACUCUCCUGAAGGAGUUUGAUGCCGUCCGCAUGAGGAGCGGCGAGACCCUCGAUGAGCUCGCCAUGCGCAUGAACGGGAUUGCCAACAAGCUGCGCACGCUCGGCGAGAACCUCGACGAGGUGAAGGUCGUGAAGAACCUUCUCCGCAUCGUGCCGUCCAAGUAUACCCAGGUAGCUAUUGCCAUUGAACAACUUCUUGAUCUUAAAACUAUGUCCAUGGAAGAGCUUGUGGGAAGGCUCAAAACGGCGGAGGACCGGAGCGACUUGGACGAGGGCGCCAACAACUAG